Molecule: small nuclear RNA, 91 nt
Filed under: Salvator merianae (Argentine black and white tegu)
Lineage: Eukaryota; Metazoa; Chordata; Lepidosauria; Squamata; Teiidae
Description: U5 spliceosomal RNA (ENSSMRG00000018735.1)
Rfam family: U5 spliceosomal RNA
About the family: U5 RNA is a component of both types of known spliceosome. The precise function of this molecule is unknown, though it is known that the 5' loop is required for splice site selection and p220 binding, and that both the 3' stem-loop and the Sm site are important for Sm protein binding and cap methylation.
Source: RNAcentral
UCCUCUGGUUNCUCUUCAGAUCGUAUAAAUCUUUCGCCUUUUACUAAAGAUUUCCGUUGUGGGAUGAAAAUUCAAGGGAGUAGAUACAGGC